This 69-nucleotide transfer RNA is filed under the name Rattus norvegicus (Norway rat). It matches the Rfam family "tRNA". Rfam says of the family: Transfer RNA (tRNA) molecules are approximately 80 nucleotides in length. Their secondary structure includes four short double-helical elements and three loops (D, anti-codon, and T loops). Further hydrogen bonds mediate the characteristic L-shaped molecular structure. tRNAs have two regions of fundamental functional importance: the anti-codon, which is responsible for specific mRNA codon recognition, and the 3' end, to which the tRNAs corresponding amino acid is attached (by aminoacyl-tRNA synthetases). tRNAs cope with the degeneracy of the genetic code in two manners: having more than one tRNA (with a specific anti-codon) for a particular amino acid; and 'wobble' base-pairing, i.e. permitting non-standard base-pairing at the 3rd anti-codon position. Lineage: Eukaryota; Metazoa; Chordata; Mammalia; Rodentia; Muridae. The record is from Rfam by way of RNAcentral.
GGGUAGAUGGCUAAGUGAAAGCACUUGCUAUGCAAGCAUGAGAGCUGGGGUUCAAAUCCCCAGUCCCCA